UAUUCUGCCCUACGGGGAAGGAUGAGAAGCUUCGACUAAGGUUCGACUCGAGCGUCAGCGAGAGAACGUUGCCGCAGGCAACGGCCCGAAGGGCGAGG
RNAcentral lists this small RNA (98 nucleotides) under Klebsiella aerogenes. RNAcentral's name for it is "partial RtT sRNA". It matches the Rfam family "RtT RNA", at positions 1 to 96 of the family's 130-position model. Rfam says of the family: This family represents a bacterial cis-regulatory element known as RtT RNA. The exact function of RtT is unknown although it is thought that it may be involved in changing the cellular response in relation to amino acid starvation. The record is from RNAcentral. Lineage: Bacteria; Pseudomonadati; Pseudomonadota; Gammaproteobacteria; Enterobacterales; Enterobacteriaceae.